GUGCUCAUUUCAAUAACAUGCAUGAUAAAACUGAAGUGAGACAGAACAUGGCUCCUGCACAAGUAUGACGUACAAAUUUGCAAGUGUUCCAUAUUUUU
This 98-nucleotide small nuclear RNA is filed under the name Saimiri boliviensis boliviensis (Bolivian squirrel monkey). Lineage: Eukaryota; Metazoa; Chordata; Mammalia; Primates; Cebidae. The record is from RNAcentral.